UGGGGAAUCUUGCACAAUGGGGGAAACCCUGAUGCAGCGACGCCGCGUGAACGAUGAAGCCCUUCGGGGUGUAAAGUUCUUUCGACAGGAACGAUAAUGACGGUACCUGGAGAAGAAGCUGCGGCUAACUACGUGCCAGCAGCCGCGGUAAUACGUAGGCAGCGAGCGUUGUUCGGAGUUACUGGGCGUAAAGAGUGCGUAGGCGGCGAGCCAAGUUUGGUGUGAAAUCUCCCGGCUUAACCGGGAGGGUGCGCCGAAAACUGGUUGGCUGGAGUAUGGGAGAGGAAAGCGGAAUUCCUGGUGUAGCGGUGAAAUGCGUAGAUAUCAGGAGGAACACCUGCGGUGUAGACAGCUUUCUGAACCAAAACUGACGCUGAGGCACGAAAGCGUGGGUAGCAAACA
This 402-nucleotide ribosomal RNA is filed under the name uncultured bacterium. Its description in RNAcentral is "bacterial SSU rRNA". It matches the Rfam family "Bacterial small subunit ribosomal RNA", at positions 355 to 774 of the family's 1533-position model. The record is from RNAcentral.